This 566-nucleotide ribosomal RNA is filed under the name uncultured bacterium. Its description in RNAcentral is "partial 16S ribosomal RNA". It matches the Rfam family "Bacterial small subunit ribosomal RNA", at positions 355 to 913 of the family's 1533-position model. The record is from RNAcentral.
UGGGGAAUUUUGGACAAUGGGCGAAAGCCUGAUCCAGCAAUGCCGCGUGUGUGAAGAAGGCCUUCGGGUUGUAAAGCACUUUUGUCCGGAAAGAAAUCCUUGGCUCUAAUACAGUCGGGGGAUGACGGUACCGGAAGAAUAAGCACCGGCUAACUACGUGCCAGCAGCCGCGGUAAUACGUAGGGUGCAAGCGUUAAUCGGAAUUACUGGGCGUAAAGCGUGCGCAGGCGGUUUGCUAAGACCGAUGUGAAAUCCCCGGGCUCAACCUGGGAACUGCAUUGGUGACUGGCAGGCUAGAGUAUGGCAGAGGGGGGUAGAAUUCCACGUGUAGCAGUGAAAUGCGUAGAGAUGUGGAGGAAUACCGAUGGCGAAGGCAGCCCCCUGGCAAGUACUGACGCUCAUGCACGAAAGCGUGGGGAGCAAACAGGAUUAGAUACCCUGGUAGUCCACGCCCUAAACGAUGUCAACUAGUUGUUGGGGGAUUCAUUUCCUUAGUAACGUAGCUAACGCGUGAAGUUGACCGCCUGGGGGAGUACGGUCGCAAGAUUAAAACUCAAAUGAAUUGA